GAGCUCUUUCUGAGAUGAAGAGAACUCUCAAUGUCAAGAUUUCAACAAGAAGAGAAUGGAAUACACGAUACGGACAUCCAUAAAAAUUCUUCAGAGGGUGUUUUACUACUGAGCUGCAAAGGGAAAAACUUAAAAUGGAUAUGAAAAGUGAAGAAAGUGAUCAUAGGAGAAAACCAUUUCAGAUGACAAGAGCACCUCAAAGGCAGCAGCCUCAAGAAGCAGCCAUGGCCCCAGAGUUGUCCCACGGAUGCAGAAAACUUAAUGGAGGAGGCUGAGGUCAGAAUGGGAAGAGUUUUUAAAAAGUAAAAAGGGGAGCUAAUAUGUGAGGAACUGAUUGCUGUGCAUUAUUUUCCGCUGAACAGACCACAGACCUUCUUUUAACUUCUAAUCUCAAGCACAUAGCAGCUGUUGUUUUCAU
RNAcentral lists this long non-coding RNA (418 nucleotides) under Pongo abelii (Sumatran orangutan). Its description in RNAcentral is "lincRNA". The record is from RNAcentral. Lineage: Eukaryota; Metazoa; Chordata; Mammalia; Primates; Hominidae.